CAGGAGCUUGCUCUUGUGGAUCAGUGGCGAACGGGUGAGUAACACGUGAGCAACCUGCCCCGAACUCUGGGAUAAGCGCUGGAAACGGCGUCUAAUACCGGAUACGCACCAGGAGGGCAUCUUCACUGGUGGGAAAGAUCUAUUGGUUCGGGAUGGGCUCGCGGCCUAUCAGCUUGUUGGUGAGGUAACGGCUCACCAAGGCGUCGACGGGUAGCCGGCCUGAGAGGGUGACCGGCCACACUGGGACUGAGACACGGCCCAGACUCCUACGGGAGGCAGCAGUGGGGAAUAUUGCACAAUGGGCGCAAGCCUGAUGCAGCAACGCCGCGUGAGGGAUGACGGCCUUCGGGUUGUAAACCUCUUUUAGCAGGGAAGAAGCGAAAGUGACGGUACCUGCAGAAAAAGCGCCGGCUAACUACGUGCCAGCAGCCGCGGUAAUACGUAGGGCGCAAGCGUUAUCCGGAAUUAUUGGGCGUAAAGAGCUCGUAGGCGGUCUGUCGCGUCUGCUGUGAAAACCCGAGGCUCAACCUCGGGCCUGCAGUGGGUACGGGCAGACUAGAGUGCGGUAGGGGAGAUUGGAAUUCCUGGUGUAGCGGUGGAAUGCGCAGAUAUCAGGAGGAACACCGAUGGCGAAGGCAGAUCUCUGGGCCGUAACUGACGCUGAGGAGCGAAAGGGUGGGGAGCAAACAGGCUUAGAUACCCUGGUAGUCCACCCCGUAAACGUUGGGAACUAGUUGUGGGGGCCUUUCCACGGUCUCCGUGACGCAGCUAACGCAUUAAGUUCCCCGCCUGGGGAGUACGGCCGCAAGGCUAAAACUCAAAGGAAUUGACGGGGACCCGCACAAGCGGCGGAGCAUGCGGAUUAAUUCGAUGCAACGCGAAGAACCUUACCAAGGCUUGACAUAUAGAGGAAAGAUCUGGAAACAGUUCCCCCGCAAGGUCUCUAUACAGGUGGUGCAUGGUUGUCGUCAGCUCGUGUCGUGAGAUGUUGGGUUAAGUCCCGCAACGAGCGCAACCCUCGUUCUAUGUUGCCAGCACGUAAUGGUGGGAACUCAUGGGAUACUGCCGGGGUCAACUCGGAGGAAGGUGGGGAUGACGUCAAAUCAUCAUGCCCCUUAUGUCUUGGGCUUCACGCAUGCUACAAUGGCCGGUACAAAGGGCUGCAAUACCGUGAGGUGGAGCGAAUCCCAAAAAGCCGGUCCUAGCACUAAUUGAGGUCUGCAACUCGACCUCAUGAAGUCGGAGUCGCUAGUAAUCGCAGAUCAG
This 1266-nucleotide ribosomal RNA is filed under the name Microbacterium sp. LC068. RNAcentral's name for it is "bacterial SSU rRNA". It matches the Rfam family "Bacterial small subunit ribosomal RNA", at positions 73 to 1352 of the family's 1533-position model. The record is from RNAcentral. Lineage: Bacteria; Bacillati; Actinomycetota; Actinomycetes; Micrococcales; Microbacteriaceae.